Molecule: small RNA, 1005 nt
Filed under: uncultured bacterium
Lineage: Bacteria
Description: bacterial SSU rRNA
Rfam family: Bacterial small subunit ribosomal RNA (bases 1-476)
Source: RNAcentral
AUGGCUGUCGUCAGCUCGUGUCGUGAGAUGUUGGGUUAAGUCCCGCAACGAGCGCAACCCUUACUUUUAGUUGCUACCAUUCAGUUGGGCACUCUAAAAGAACUGCCAGUGAUAAGCUGGAGGAAGGUGGGGAUGACGUCAAGUCCUCAUGGCCCUUACGUGUUGGGCUACACACGUGCUACAAUGGUACUUACAGUGAGAUGCUAAGAGGCGACUCUAAGCCAAUCUCAAAAAGGUACCUCAGUUCGGAUUGCACUCUGCAACUCGAGUGCAUGAAGCUGGAAUUACUAGUAAUCGUGGAUCAGCGCGCCACGGUGAAUACGUUCCCGGGUCUUGUACACACCGCCCGUCACACCAUGGAAGUUGGUUACACCUUAAGGCAAAGCAUAAAACCUUUGACUACGGUACGAUCAGCGACUGGGGUGAAGUCGUAACAAGGUAGCCGUAGGGGAACCUGCGGCUGGAUCACCUCCUUUCUAAGGAAAUCGAAAAAUAUCAAAACAAUUAUUUUCGAUUUAAAAAAAAUCGGUUAAUGUGACCGUCCUCAUUUCUCUUCUUUUAAUGUCUCUGAGUAAAAAUAAUGUAAGGGGCCGGUAGCUCAGGUGGUUAGAGCGCACCCCUGAUAAGGGUGAGGUCGGAAGUUCGAAUCUUCCUCGGCCCACCAAUAUUUGGGGGAUUAGCUCAGCUGGGAGAGCGCCUGAUUUGCAUUCAGGAGGUCAGCGGUUCGAUCCCGCUAUCCUCCACCAAGAAACACUUAGUUAUUUUUUUUGUGAAUAUUUAAUAAUUUAUAUCAAUAUCUAUAUCCGAACAUUAAUUUAUCUAUUAAUGUUCAAAUAAAAAAUUUGAUUCAACACAGAAUUUUUUUCUGUGCAUAAAUCAAGCGUUUAAGGGCGUGUGGCGGAUGCCUUGGCACUGAAAGCCGAUGAAGGACGUGGUAUACUGCGAUAAGUUACGGGGAGCUGUAUGCAAGUUUUGAUCCGUAAAUUUCCGAAUGGGGAAACCCGG